This 298-nucleotide transfer-messenger RNA is filed under the name Polaromonas sp. Its description in RNAcentral is "partial transfer-messenger RNA". It matches the Rfam family "transfer-messenger RNA", at positions 1 to 283 of the family's 374-position model. Rfam says of the family: Bacterial tmRNA, also known as 10Sa RNA or SsrA, is named for its dual tRNA and mRNA-like properties. Its role is to liberate the mRNA from a stalled ribosome. Lineage: Bacteria; Pseudomonadati; Pseudomonadota; Betaproteobacteria; Burkholderiales; Comamonadaceae. The record is from RNAcentral.
GGGGCUGCAUUGGUUUCGACGUGGGUUCGGACGCGGUGUGGUGCAUGUCGAGCUGAGUGUGCUCGUAAAACUGAUUCAAACAAACUAACUGCAAACGACGAACGUUUCGCACUCGCUGCUUAAUUGCUAAGCGAGCUUUACAACAGCAGGCCGAUGGGCUGGGCAAGGGGUCUUUAGCGCAAGUUAAGGGCUCCCGGCUGUAAAGAUAAUUUCAUCGUCUGGCUCCGGGCUGGGUACCUUAACCCGGGGCAAGACAAUAGGGUGCUGGCGUCCUGUGUAGCGUGCGACUGCGCGACAC